UAGAAGGUAGUAUAUUGGUAGUACGGGAGGUUUUGGGCUUUCCGGUUCAAGUUCGAGUCUUGACCUUCUAG
This 71-nucleotide transfer RNA is filed under the name Orientocoluber spinalis (Slender racer). RNAcentral's name for it is "tRNA-Gln". It matches the Rfam family "tRNA". Rfam says of the family: Transfer RNA (tRNA) molecules are approximately 80 nucleotides in length. Their secondary structure includes four short double-helical elements and three loops (D, anti-codon, and T loops). Lineage: Eukaryota; Metazoa; Chordata; Lepidosauria; Squamata; Colubridae. The record is from RNAcentral.